This 433-nucleotide ribosomal RNA is filed under the name uncultured bacterium. RNAcentral describes it as "partial 16S ribosomal RNA". It matches the Rfam family "Bacterial small subunit ribosomal RNA", at positions 29 to 507 of the family's 1533-position model. The record is from RNAcentral.
AACGAACGCUGGCGGCAUGCCUAACACAUGCAAGUCGAACGAGACCUUCGGGUCUAGUGGCGCACGGGUGCGUAACGCGUGGGAACCUGCCCUUAGGUUCGGAAUAAUUCCCCGAAAGGGGUGCUAAUACCGGAUAAUGUCUUCGGACCAAAGAUUUAUCGCCUUUGGAUGGGCCCGCGUUGGAUUAGCUAGUUGGUAGGGUAAAAGCCUACCAAGGCGACGAUCCAUAGCUGGUCUGAGAGGAUGAUCAGCCACACUGGGACUGAGACACGGCCCAGACUCCUACGGGAGGCAGCAGUGGGGAAUAUUGGACAAUGGGCGAAAGCCUGAUCCAGCAAUGACGCGUGAGUGAUGAAGGCCUUAGGGUUGUAAAGCUCUUUUACCCGGGAUGAUAAUGACAGUACCGGGAGAAUAAGCUCCGGCUAACUCCGUG